Molecule: non-coding RNA, 72 nt
Organism: Capsicum annuum
Lineage: Eukaryota; Viridiplantae; Streptophyta; Magnoliopsida; Solanales; Solanaceae
Source: Rfam
GGGCAUUUGGUCUAGUGGUAUGAUUCUCGCGUUGGGUGUGAGAGGUCCCGAGUUAGAUUCUUGGAAUGCCCC